UAGGACCCACAAGGAUCAGUCCAGCUCCUGGCUCCACACAGAAUCACCCAAAGCUUAAACCCUACAUCUGAGAAUGCUGGGCCUGAUGCACCUUGAAAACUAAAAAGAGUAAAACAGUGACUCUGAAUUCAAGACACUCUGAAUGACUUUGGUCAUUAGACAUAUUUAAAUGCCUGGUAUUAAGCGGUUCAGCAUGAAGACACUAGAUCUGCUUCUGGCCUUCUAACUACAGUGAGGGAUACUGAGUCUCUAUGUAAUAUCUAGCAUAAGAAUUAGGGCUGCAGCAAUCAGCCUUGAUCUUAGAACUAGUACUGUAUCUCAGCUUCCCCAAGGCAUUAGAAACUCUUUUUUCCAGAACUGCAGGCUCUUUGGUCCUCUGGCUGGAGACAUCUACAGUGAGAGGGUACUCUCUUAACGACUUCGGAACAUCAAGAUAUCACAUUAAUUUUGGAGGAUCCUUUUUGCCCUAAAGAUCUUGACAGAAGAAGAGUCUCUAACAGAAGAAACAAAAGCAAAAACAUGCUGGCACGUGUGACCUACAAGGAAAGAAUUUGCUCUGAUUUUGCAAGCAGAAGUAUAUGAUCGCGGACUACAGCAUCUAAAGAAAGCAAGAUUCAUUGUUAAAUCCUUCUCGUGACAACUUGACGACAAUGUGUGAACAAGACUUUGCCUCAUUAGACACUAACAGAUGAUUAGAGAAAGAUAUCACACUGGUGCUCUUUAAUUUGAUGAUGCUACUUUAUUCUUGGUAUUCCUGUCUCAUUUCAGCUUCUCAUAUAAUCAGUGAAGAGAGGUAGGUCCCAAACUACAGACUAAGCCCUCUCCAUUGAACAGAAAAACAGAUACCAUUUCUGAUAGGCACCUAAAUAAAAUGCUCUAAUUUAUA
Non-coding RNA from Meleagris gallopavo (turkey), 886 nucleotides. Lineage: Eukaryota; Metazoa; Chordata; Aves; Galliformes; Phasianidae. The record is from RefSeq and is a predicted model, not a curated record.